UGCAGGACCAUCCCAAUGCGCGAGAAUGCGCACUGCCCGCAGCCUGACGCACAGAAGCGCAUGCGCAGAGGAGCUGCGGUGGGUGGUGGUGGGGGGGCGCCGAUGCGCAGAGCCCCUAUCUGCGCCUGCGCAGGACGGGCCGAAGCGCCGACCGGGUACCUGGGGCGGUGUUGUCCGGGGGUACGUCACGGGCCGCGCGCCGGGCGCGUACGCACGCACGCACGCACGCACUUACGCUCAGGGGGCAAGAGCCGAGUUCCGGGCGCUCGGGGUCGACGCCGAAAAGGGGGAAGGGAGGUGCUGUCGGUUUCGGCGCGGGCGGAGGGUGGGGGUGUGUGUGAGGAAAGUCCUACGGUGGCCGCAGAGGGACGGCGCUACGGCUCCCACGCUGGGCCAAACGCCGCCAGCCGCCGGGCGCGGGAGCCCCUGGCCCUUCGGGGCGGCCCCGGGCCGGGACUCGUGAGGGUCCCGGCCGCACCGUCGGCACCAUGCGGCCGCCCUGCUCCAGGAGCCCCGAGGGACAGGGGGCCGCGCGGCUCGGGACGCCGGCGCGGAGAGGGCAGCCGGCCCCCGCCUCCCCCGGUGCUCAGCCUCGGCCGCCCAGGCCCAGGCGCCCACGACGCCUAUGCUGACCGCCGCCGGGACUCCGCCGCCGCCGCGAGCUAGCGCCGCCGCCGCCCGGACCCGAUGCCGGUCAUGCCCAUCCCCCGGCGGGUGCGCUCCUUCCACGGCCCGCACACCACCUGCCUGCACGCCGCCUGCGGCCCGGCGCGCGCCUCCCGCCCGGCCCGCACCAAGUACAACAACUUCGACGUGUACGUCCGGGCGCGCUGGCUCUACGGCUUCAUCCGCUUCCUGCUGUACUUCAGCUGCAGCCUCUUCACGGCCGCGCUGUGGGGCGCGCUGGCCGCGCUCUUCUGCCUGCAGUACCUGGGCGUCCGCGUCCUGCUGCGCUUUCAGCUCAAGCUGUCGGCGCUGCUGCUGCUGCUGGGCCGCAGGCGCGUGGACUUCCGCCUCCUCAACGAGCUGCUGGUCUACGGCAUCCACGUGACCAUGCUGCUGGUCGGGGGCCUGGGCUGGUGCUUCAUGGUCUUCGUGGACAUGUGAGGGUGCCGCGGGCUCAUCUGGGGGCGGCUGAUGGCGAUCUGGCUGUAGCUGCACCUGCGAGGGGUGCUUUUCCUGCCGGGAUCGGUCAGGGCCCCUUCCGCCCCGUCCCAGAGGAGCGACCUCCCUGCGCGCUGGAGUCUCUGGCUCGGACCGGAAAGAGCGGAGACUUCUGUGAAGGGGACGCUGGCACCCUCGCUCCUGCUGGUCCCUGCUUCAGCCGUUCUCUGUGCUUUUGGCGUAACAUCCCCCGGGCCAUCCGCUUGUGGUUCCGCCUGCACUUGCCCAGCAGUUCCAGAGGGGACCCGUCGGUCCAGUCUGCACUUGGAGAGCCCGGGUUCCUGUCCCCUCUUCAGGACACCGGCAUCACCGUUGUUGGUGUGAGAGGCCCCUGGGAGGGGUGAGGUGCCCAGGUGCAGACCUGGAGGGGACUUCUCCCAGCUGCCCUGUCCCCUCCUGUGCGCCCCGCAGCCCCUGCGCCAGCCUUAGGGAAGCGUCGGGCUCCACGAGCUGACGCCCCACACUGCCACCAAGUUCUUCACUCCGCCCUGGGCCACCAAGUCCUGGCUCAGCCCACACACUGUCCUCCAUACGUUACCCUGUAAGGUGUCCUGAGUCCCUGACCCGGCUUCCGUGCCACCUGGGUUCACUUGGCAGGUUGCUAGAUCAGGAGGGGGCGUGUUGGUUCCAGGGCAUGCCUGUCUUCCUCCCGGGCAGGUCUGCUGAGAAUGUCAGCCAGAUGACGUCAUCUCUUCAAGUGUGACUUUCUGAGGCGGGCAACUCAGUGUGUUUCUGGCUUUGGUGGGGGUGGGGUGGUGCGGGGUUCAGCCUCUUCCCUGGAGGGAACUUCCAGGAUUAAGACGUGUGUGUCAGGAGCAGAUAUCAGAGGUGGCCCAAGUGCUGUGCGUUAAGAAACAGCUCUUGGAGUCGUGGGUACACCAGGCUGGACCACCAAGUGAGGGACUUUCGGCCCUUGUUCAUGCCUCGGCAGCUGUUGGAGCAGCUGGGAGUACAGAGCAAGAGUGACUUUGGGCCAGGGCGGUUCCAGUUGCAGAUAGAACAUACCAAAGGGCUAGAGUCUCGCCCCUUUCCUCCCCCACCUCCUUCAGAUGAGGCCAGGGUGGCCUUGGGCCUCAUAAGCAGGCCAGGGGCGCUCUGAAUGAUUUAGCUGGGACAACGGCCAGAGGCAGGACUUAGCGCCUCAGACGGGAGGGCGACAGGCAGGCUAAUGCUGCUCCACCCCAAGUUGUCCCCACAGCCCCAGGCACGGGCAGUGGCCCCUUCAGCCCCCUCUGGCCAGGCUGCCUAGUGGCCAGGGAGGCUGUCGGGGCAGUUGUGUGCUGCUGGAAGAAAAACCCAAAUCAGGUAAAGAAAGCAAAAAAUAACUUGGCUGCACGCCGUGCUUUUUUAUUUGUAGUCAGCUUCUGUCGGGCAGUUGUCCACUCAAGGUCAGCGGUGGGCUCCUCAAGGGGAGUGGGGAGCGAGUCUGUCUGAGUUACCUGGAUGGCAGGCGUGGAGCCGAUCGACGUGGACCCCACUUCCCAGUGCUGCAGAGAAUCUUUUGCACUAAGUCCCACUGUUCCCUGAAAGCUUCUUUUUGUGUUGACUCGUGUCACUCUGAGCCCCCAGGUGGGCCUGUGCCCGCGGGGCUGGGGGCUGCAGUGGUGCGGGCACGCUGCCCGGCAUCCUCGGUGCCUGUGAGAUUCUUUAUGAAAUGAGCCACCUGCAUUAAACUUAUUUUUUUAACAUGUUGAUGGUGUGAUUGUUUAAAGCUCAAAAAGUUUAUACCUUUUUUUAGAGGAUAUAACAAGCCCGAAACACCACAGAUGCCGUUUUUUUCAUAAGUACAGUG
Long non-coding RNA from Moschus moschiferus (Siberian musk deer), 2956 nucleotides. Lineage: Eukaryota; Metazoa; Chordata; Mammalia; Artiodactyla; Moschidae. The record is from Ensembl.